CGGGACGUGGCUCAGCCAGGUAGAGCGCACGACUGGGGGUCGUGAGGUCGCCGGUUCAAGUCCGGCCGUCCCGA
This 74-nucleotide transfer RNA is filed under the name Fodinibius salinus. RNAcentral describes it as "Bacteroidetes bacterium YIM D17 tRNA". It matches the Rfam family "tRNA". Rfam says of the family: Transfer RNA (tRNA) molecules are approximately 80 nucleotides in length. Their secondary structure includes four short double-helical elements and three loops (D, anti-codon, and T loops). Further hydrogen bonds mediate the characteristic L-shaped molecular structure. tRNAs have two regions of fundamental functional importance: the anti-codon, which is responsible for specific mRNA codon recognition, and the 3' end, to which the tRNAs corresponding amino acid is attached (by aminoacyl-tRNA synthetases). tRNAs cope with the degeneracy of the genetic code in two manners: having more than one tRNA (with a specific anti-codon) for a particular amino acid; and 'wobble' base-pairing, i.e. permitting non-standard base-pairing at the 3rd anti-codon position. Lineage: Bacteria; Pseudomonadati; Balneolota; Balneolia; Balneolales; Balneolaceae. The record is from Rfam by way of RNAcentral.